AUGUUGUCAAGUUGAGUGCUAUGA
This 24-nucleotide non-coding RNA is filed under the name Arabidopsis thaliana (thale cress). Lineage: Eukaryota; Viridiplantae; Streptophyta; Magnoliopsida; Brassicales; Brassicaceae. The record is from RNAcentral.